CAUGCUCUCAUGAAAUGCAUCACAUCACAAACAUAUCAUCUCAAGGAUGAACUUGUCACCAUAGCCCUCUACAUACAUAAUAGUAUGUCCAACUGUGCCAGGGGCGAUUAGGCCUCACCUGGACUACUCUGAAGUAACUCAUAUCAUAACAUGUCCAACUGUGCCAGGGGCGAUUAGGCCUCACCUGGACUGCUCUGAGCUCUGACCUGACAGCCCAGCUGUCCUGACAGCCCAGCUGUCUCACUCAUAGUACCAGGAGCGACCUGGACUAACCAGGGGCGACCUGGUAUGGCUAUCUCAUGCCAUAACUCUGUAUCUGUGCUCGAUCAAGGGCUAAGGAUCAUCCAACAUUCAUCCACACAAAUAUCAGCUUAUGCAAUGCA
Molecule: long non-coding RNA, 383 nt
Filed under: Manihot esculenta (cassava)
Lineage: Eukaryota; Viridiplantae; Streptophyta; Magnoliopsida; Malpighiales; Euphorbiaceae
Description: long non-coding RNA (MESC_LNC000244)
Source: RNAcentral